ACACGACGCUCUUCCGAUCUCGGCGGAUACCUUGGCACACAGAGGCGAUGAAGGACGUGGUUACCUGCGAUAAGUCUCGGGGAGCUGGAAGCACGCUUUGAUCCGGGAAUUUCCGAAUGGGGCAACCCUUUUAUACGGCCAGCUGAAUACAUAGGCUGGCGCGAGCCAACCCAGCGAACUGAAACAUCUUAGUAGCUGGAGGAAAGGAAAGUAAAAACGACUCCCUAAGUAGCGGCGAGCGAACGGGGAAGAGCCUAAACCAAUGGUUUCGACCAUUGGGGUUGUGGGACAGCAACGUGGAUCAGGAAUGUUAGUGGAAGUGUUUGAAAGACACGCCAUAGAAGGUGAAAGCCCCGUACACGAAAACUGAACUGACCUAGCUGUAUCCCGAGUAGCACGGAGCACGUGGAAUUCCGUGUGAAUCAGCGAGGACCACCUCGUAAGGCUAAGUACUCCUGUGUGACCGAUAGCGAAACAGUACCGCGAGGGAAAGGUGAAAAGAACCCCGGGAGGGGAGUGAAAUAGAACAUGAAACCGUGAGCCUACAAGCAAUGGGAGCCCUACUCAUAGGGUGACCGUGUGCCUGUUGAAGAAUGAGCCGGCGACUUAUAGGCACUGGCGGGUUAAACCGGAAAUGGUGGAGCCAUAGCGAAAGCGAGUCUGAAUAGGGCGUUUGUCAGUGUUUAUAGACCCGAACCCGGGUGAUCUAACCAUGGCCAGGAUGAAGCUUGGGUGAUACCAAGUGGAGGUCCGAACCGACUGGCGUUGAAAAGCCAGCGGAUGAGCUGUGGUUAGGGGUGAAAUGCCAAUCGAACCCGGAGCUAGCUGGUUCUCCCCGAAAUACGUUGAGGCGUAGCGUCUCGUGCUCCAGCAGGGGGGUAAAGCCACCAUUUCGGUGCGGGCUGCGAGAGCGGUACCAAAUCGAGAUGAACUCUGAAUACCCUGUGUGUAGCGAGGCAGUCAGACUGUGGGGGAUAAGCUCCAUGGUCGAGAGGGAAACAGCCCAGACCGCCAGCUAAGGUCCCCAAAUCAACACUAAGUGAUAAAGGAGGUGGGAUUGCCCAGACAACCAGGAGGUUUGCCUAGAAGCAGCCAUCCUCAAAGGAGUGCGUAAUAGCUCACUGGUCGAGCGAUCCUGCGCCGAAAAUGAAUGGGGCUAAGUGUUGUACCGAAGCUGCGGAUUUAUGGUAGGGGAGCGUUCUAUGUGGGGCGAAGCGUUAGCGUGAGCGGGCGUGGACUGCAUAGAAGUGAGAAUGUCGGCUUGAGUAGCGAAAACAUGGGUGAGAAUCCCAUGCACCGAAACCCUAAGGGUUCCUCCGGCAGGCUCGUCCGCGGAGGGUUAGUCUGGACCUAAGGCGAGGCCGAAAGGCGUAGUCGAUGGAUAACAGGUCAACAUUCCUGUACCGGUCAUGUUUUGGGAAGAGGGACGGAGAAGGCUAGCCAAGCCAGAUGUUGGUUACUGGUUCAAGCGUUCGAGGCGUUGAGGAUCGGCGAAAACGAUCCGAGCUGAGGCGUGAGUACGAGCUGCUACGGCAGCGAAGUUGGUGAUGUCAUGCUUCCAAGAAAAGCUCUAUACCCGUUAAGGCAUAACUGCCAGUACCCGAAACCGACACAGGUGGGGUGGUAGAGAAUACCGAGGUGCGCGAGGUAACUCUCUCUAAGGAACUCGGCAAAAUGGCCCCGUAACUUCGGGAGAAGGGGUGGCUACUCGUAAGAGAGCUCGCAGUGACCAGGCCCAGGCGACUGUUUAUCAAAAACACAGGUCUCCGCAAAGUUGCAAAACGACGUAUGGGGGCUGACGCCUGCCCAGUGCCGGAAGGUAAAGGAAGUUGGUUAUUUGACUCUUGAGUUCAAAGAAGCUGACCACCGAAGCCCCGGUAAACGGCGGCUGUAACUCUGACAGUCCUAAGGUAGCGAAAUUCCUUGCCAAGUAAGUUUUGGCCCGCACGAAAGGCGUAACGAUCUGGGCGCUGUCUCGGAGAGAGACUCGGUGAAAUAGAAAUGUCUGUGAAGAUGCGGACUACCUAUACCAGGACAGAAAGACCCUAGAUCGGAAGAGCGUCGUGUAGGGAAAGAGUGUAGAUCUCGGUGGUCGCCGU
Molecule: ribosomal RNA, 2099 nt
Filed under: seawater metagenome
Description: bacterial LSU rRNA
Rfam family: Bacterial large subunit ribosomal RNA
Source: RNAcentral